RNAcentral lists this ribosomal RNA (435 nucleotides) under uncultured bacterium. RNAcentral describes it as "partial 16S ribosomal RNA". It matches the Rfam family "Bacterial small subunit ribosomal RNA", at positions 28 to 507 of the family's 1533-position model. The record is from RNAcentral.
GAUGAACGCUGGCGGUAUGCCUAACACAUGCAAGUCGAACGGACUCUUCGGAGUUUGUGGCGGACGGGGGAGUAACGCGUGGGAAUCUGGCUUUGGGUUCGGGACAACCACUGGAAACGGUGGCUUAUGCAGGAUGUGCCGAGAGGCAAAAGAGAAAUUUCCUGAAGAUGAGCUCGCGUCUGAUUACCUUGUUGGUGAGGUAAAUGGUCACCACGGCAGCGAUCAGUAGCUGGUCUGAGAGGAUGACCAGCCAAACUGGGACUGAGAGCCGGCCCAGACUCAUACGGGAGGCAGCAGGGAGGAAUGUUCCGCAAUGGGCGAAUGCCUGACGAAGCAAUACCGCGGGAAGGAAGAAGGCUCUUGGGUUGAACAACUCUUUACUUAAGGAAGAACAAAAUGACGGUACCUAAGGAGAAAGCAACGGCUAACUCCGUG